ACAUCCCUCAUUGCUGCAAACGCUAACUAUCGGACAGGCUUAGAUCAAGUGUAGUAUCUGUUCUUUUCAGUUUAAUCUCUGAAACGGCUCUCCGGAGCCUGUUCUUUUGGUUAAUCUUAUUUUUGUUUACUUGGGGGAUCCUGCCUCUGGCCUGCCAUGCUUGAUCCCCACUGUGUCACCGGUAUUGCACCGUCUCCGGUUGAUGCGAAUGGUU
RNAcentral lists this small nuclear RNA (214 nucleotides) under Tuber melanosporum Mel28. Its description in RNAcentral is "U2 spliceosomal RNA". The stretch from base 23 to 214 matches the Rfam family "U2 spliceosomal RNA". From Rfam's summary of the family: U2 is a small nuclear RNA (snRNA) component of the spliceosome (involved in pre-mRNA splicing). Complementary binding between U2 snRNA (in an area lying towards the 5' end but 3' to hairpin I) and the branchpoint sequence (BPS) of the intron results the bulging out of an unpaired adenosine, on the BPS, which initiates a nucleophilic attack at the intronic 5' splice site, thus starting the first of two transesterification reactions that mediate splicing. The record is from RNAcentral. Lineage: Eukaryota; Fungi; Ascomycota; Pezizomycetes; Pezizales; Tuberaceae.